This 427-nucleotide ribosomal RNA is filed under the name uncultured bacterium. RNAcentral's name for it is "bacterial SSU rRNA". It matches the Rfam family "Bacterial small subunit ribosomal RNA", at positions 355 to 774 of the family's 1533-position model. The record is from RNAcentral.
UGGGGAAUUUUGGACAAUGGGCGCAAGCCUGAUCCAGCCAUGCCGCGUGCAGGAUGAAGGCCCUCGGGUUGUAAACUGCUUUUGUACGGAACGAAAAGCCUCUUUCUAAUAAAGAGGGGUGAUGACGGUACCGUAAGAAUAAGCACCGGCUAACUACGUGCCAGCAGCCGCGGUAAUACGUAGGGUGCGAGCGUUAAUCGGAAUUACUGGGCGUAAAGCGUGCGCAGGCGGUCUUGCAAGACAGUGGUGAAAUCCCCGGGCUCAACCGGGGAACUGCCAUUGUGACUGCAAGACUGGAGUACGGCAGAGGGGGAUGGAAUUCCGCGUGUAGCAGUGAAAUGCGUAGAUAUGCGGAGGAACACCGAUGGCGAAGGCAGUCCCCUGGGCCUGUACUGACGCUCAUGCACGAAAGCGUGGGGAGCAAACA